RNAcentral lists this ribosomal RNA (207 nucleotides) under uncultured bacterium. RNAcentral describes it as "partial 16S ribosomal RNA". It matches the Rfam family "Bacterial small subunit ribosomal RNA", at positions 568 to 774 of the family's 1533-position model. The record is from RNAcentral.
AGCGCAGGCGGUUUCUUAAGUCUGAUGUGAAAGCCUUCGACUCAACCGAAGAAGUGCAUCGGAAACUGGGAAACUUGAGUGCAGAAGAGGACAGUGGAACUCCAUGUGUAGCGGUGAAAUGCGUAGAUAUAUGGAAGAACACCAGUGGCGAAGGCGGCUGUCUGGUCUGUAACUGACGCUGAGGCUCGAAAGCAUGGGUAGCAAACA